RNAcentral lists this transfer-messenger RNA (329 nucleotides) under Candidatus Parcubacteria bacterium. It matches the Rfam family "transfer-messenger RNA". From Rfam's summary of the family: Bacterial tmRNA, also known as 10Sa RNA or SsrA, is named for its dual tRNA and mRNA-like properties. The record is from RNAcentral. Lineage: Bacteria; Candidatus Parcubacteria.
GGGGAUGAAAUUGGAAUCGAUGGCAGAGGUAAUUUUAAAAGGGCAGGCCGAGCUCCUCGAAGCUCGUUAAAAUUUCGAGGAAACAAAAAAUGCCAACUUAAUGGCAGCUCCUGCAUUGGUUUAAUUUACCAAUGCCGCCAAGAUCAGUAAUCCCUGCUAGCUGAUCUUUGGUGUCAUAAUCUGCAGGGAACAGCUCUUUAAAAUAAGGGGAAGAAUCUAGUCUGGGGAUUCUCCCCUAUCUCACCUCCUUUCAAUCCAGACUAAGCCUGUGAAAAAACCCUUUUAAAAACCUCUGCCAGACGCGAGUUCGAGUCUCGCCAUCUCCACAA